UGGGGAUAACCCCGGAAAACUGGGGAUAAUACCCCAUAGACUACAGAAACUGGAAUGUUCUGUAAUCGAAAGGUGAGCCGCCUUAGGAUGGGUCUGCGGCUGAUUAGGUUGUUGUUGGGGUAACGGCCCAACAAGCCUGUAAUCAGUACGGGUUGUGGGAGCAAGAACCCGGAGAUGGAUUCUGAGACACGAAUCCAGGCCCUACGGGGCGCAGCAGGCGCGAAAACUUUACAAUGCGAGAAAUCGUGAUAAGGGAACCCCGAGUGCCCGUAAAUUCGGGCUGUUAAUCUGUGUAAAAAGCAGGUGGAGAAAGGGCCGGGCAAGACCGGUGCCAGCCGCCGCGGUAAUACCGGCGGCUCGAGUGGUGGCCACUAUUACUGGGCUUAAAGCGUCCGUAGCUGGAUUGUUAAGUCUCUUGGGAAAUCUACCGGCUUAACCGAUAGGCGUUCAAGGGAUACUGGCAAUCUAGGGACCGGAAGAGGUGAGAGGUACUCCAGGGGUAGGAGUGAAAUCCUGUAAUUCUUGAAGGACCACCAGUGGCGAAGGCGUCUCACCAGAACGGACCUGACGGCAAGGGACGAAAGCUAGGGGCACGAACCGGAUUAGAUACCCGGGUAGUCCUAGCCGUAAACGAUACUCGCUAGGUGUCGGCAACGGUGCGACCGUUGUCGGUGCCGUAGGGAAGCCGUGAAGCGAGCCACCUGGGAAGUACGGUCGCAAGGC
Molecule: ribosomal RNA, 723 nt
Filed under: unidentified archaeon
Lineage: Archaea
Description: bacterial SSU rRNA
Rfam family: Archaeal small subunit ribosomal RNA
Source: RNAcentral